CGGGCGGCAUUAGUACACAAUAGUCGGCUCGCGGCAUUUAAGCUUGCCGUGUUCCUGCAAGUUGUCACCCGUAGAAACAGCCUUCCCCGGGGCGGCCUCGAAGCUCCUGCGGAGUGACGGGAAGAGGCUGGUGGAGGGGAGGGGGAGACAAGGAAGACUUUAAUUUUAAAGAAAGACUUUCGCCCUCGCGACCUCCCCCGCACUCAUCUCAGGAUAGAAACGCCCCUUGACUGAGCUAAUGGUGUUGUGUUAAAGGAAAGAGAUGGUUUUUCUUUUAAAUGUAACAGUUUCUUCCUUCUGAGGUAACGCGGGGCCAGUGCGUACCCAGAAUUCCCGAGGUCUCUCGUGGCGUGUUUCCGGUUAUUGUGCUCUCGCGGCAGCGGCAGGGCGAGGCUCGGACGACCGGCGUCCGCUUCUCUCAGCCCCUGGUCUGGCGGGCUCGUCACCCGUUGCCCGUUUCUCUCAGCAAAUUAACAGUUUCCUAGUAUUUUGUGAUUGUAAGAAGAACACUGCUUUUUAAAAAAAUGCCUACUCCCUGCAACUGUCCAGUAUUUUUUGGCAUCCCUUAAAUUUUACAUUAAGGGCAGAUGUCUCACUCGCCAGGCUUCCUCACCCUAGACCUGGUCCUACCAUGAAGAGUCAACUUACUUCACAGAUUAACAUGGUGUCUGACUCAAACACUGGCUUGAGAGUGAGCAGCCAUCUUGUAUUCACAAUGGAAAAAAAAAAAGCCCAUAUUGAGGAUGACAGAGCAAAAAGAAGGGUUCUAGGAUAUUGAUGACAUCAUGGAGCACUGCACCAGCCUGAAUGUCACCCUUUGUCAUUUUUGUUAUGUGAGAAAAAUAACUCUAUUUAGUUAAGCUACUGUCAUCAGGUUCCAUUACAUGUGACCAAAUGUGAUUCCUAAACUAUAACCUUGCUCCCUAUGUUUCCUCACCUUUGACUCAUUCUCAAACCAUUCCAUUCUGGCUUCUGGCCCAUCAUUCCACUGGGCUCACCAAUGACCUGCAUGUUGUGAAAUCCAGGGGACACUUUCAGUUCUCGUGUUACUUAACCUCCCAGCAGCAUUUGACUCUGUGACUUCCUUUUUGAAACAGUCUUCCCGUGGCUUCUAUGGGUUUGCUCCUUCACCUCCAGCUGCCCCCUCUCUGUCUCCUUCAUGGGUUAAUCUUCCUCUUCUAGCCAAACUUACCAUCUUUCAGCCUCUAUGACAUACCACAGCCUCAGCAACAUGCCUUUCCCUCUUUCUGGAAUGCUCUGCCCUCCCUCCUUUUGCCAGCUAACUCUUCCUCACCCUUCAGUUCUCCAUCCUUUUUUUUUUUUAAAGGUUUAAUUUUAUUUAUUUUUCACUGCAUUGGGUCUUCAUUGCUGCGCACAGGCU
Aethalodelphis obliquidens (Pacific white-sided dolphin) is the source of this 1381-nucleotide long non-coding RNA. RefSeq lists it as uncharacterized. The record is from RefSeq and is a predicted model, not a curated record. The transcript is spliced from 3 exons. NCBI's taxonomy places the organism in Eukaryota, Metazoa, Chordata, Mammalia, Artiodactyla, Delphinidae.